RNAcentral lists this ribosomal RNA (253 nucleotides) under uncultured bacterium. RNAcentral's name for it is "partial 16S ribosomal RNA". It matches the Rfam family "Bacterial small subunit ribosomal RNA", at positions 524 to 776 of the family's 1533-position model. The record is from RNAcentral.
UACGAAGGGGGCUAGCGUUGCUCGGAAUUACUGGGCGUAAAGGGCGCGUAGGCGGGUGUUUAAGUCAGAGGUUAAAUCCCAGGGCUCAACCCUGGAACUGCCUUUGAUACUGGGCACCUAGAGUUCGGGAGAGGUGUGUGGAACUCCGAGUGUAGAGGUGAAAUUCGUAGAUAUUCGGAAGAACACCAGCGGCGGAGGCGACACACUGGCCCGAUACUGACGCUGAGGCGCGAAAGCGUGGGGAGCAAAUAGG